CACAAACUGCUGCAUGGGAAGCCUGAAGAUGACAAGAUAAAGCUUAGAUUUCUUUUAUGUGAACGUAAAAAAAAGCAUCACAAACUUCUAACAAAAAAAAUCAACGUAUGCACCAAACUAGAUUCAUGAAACAGAGCAUCAAAAGUCCCAAAAUGGGUAUACGGUAAGGAAAAUAAUCUUUGUGCAUGUUUUGAACAUAAACAAAUAAAACACAACAGUAAUGUCCCAAGAACUUGUGUUCUAACGGAUUGUAAAAGCAAUCAGAUGAGAGGUAAAAGUAAAUUACAUGCCUUCACUUUCACCACUGGGACAGAGACCACUGGGAUAGAGAAGCAGGAACAAUGUUGAGGGCCCAAAAUUUUGAAAUAAGGCUCAGAAACAAUUAACAUGAAAGUGUUAUCCACCCUAAGAUAUUCCAUUUCUAUCCAUCUCAUUACAAUGGCACUAGCCAUGAAAAAAGCAUGUUUUCUAGAUUCAACAUUAUCAUUCAGAGGGACAACAUGAAACAAUGGCCAACAGUUGAAAACAGGGGUGAGCAUAAAUCAGUUAAAACCAAAAAACUGAACCAAACAUAUUUAAUUUAGUUUUAAAGAUUCGGUUCGAUUAGUAUUUUUAGAAAGUUCAGUCUUCGGUUAGAUUCAAUUAUUUUCACAAAAAAAUCAAAUCGACCAAAAUUUGGAAUGCUAAGUCGUUUUGCCUUCAUAUAUAUAGAAUCCCUAAUUUUUUCUCUCCCUACCCUGGCUUAAGACAUCACUCUCUGUUACUUUUGGCUCUCUGUGAUUUGUGCCGUAGCCCCCUCAAAUAAGCCUUCGCCGCCACAAGCACCAGCUCUCUUUGUCUCCACUUCAUUUUCCUCUAACAUUAUAAGCCACAAAUGCAAUUUAGGGAUUUCAAAAUGUUUCACAAUUCUUUUCAGAGAAGCAAUUGGCAGGUAGAGAAAAACUUCUUGUUGAUGGUUCUGGUGGUAUAUUGAUGACAUUGUUUGGUAUCGAUUUCGUUGCCAGUUGGGUUUUCUGCAAUUGAUUUUGUUGAUUUUUGAAAACUAGUUAGUCUUGAAAACUAGGAUUGUUGAUGGUUGAUUUGCUGGAAUUUUACUAGGUUGUGAUUUUGUAAAACUUUUAGGUAACCUGUGUUUGUCGAGGGAGAGGAGUAGCAAACUGAAUUGUGUUACUUGUGUAAGCUAAAAACUGAAUUGACUGUACACCUAUUAUAUGAUAGCUGAAGGUUGAUGCAUCCAACAUCUGCAGAAAUAUUCACACUUGAUACAUGAGCUGGGCUAAAUGUUGUUUGCUGUUAAGAAGACACUUCAAAAGUUUGAACUUGAGAAUUCCAAGUUGGAGGUACUCAAGAUCAAAUUCCAUUGGGAUGAGAUGCAAGGAAGAUUAAUGGCAUUGAGGAUGGUUAUCCCCAAUUAUAACUCUUAAUUAACAUCUCAAUAUACCAAAAGAUUAUUUGCCCCUGGUAGUUUAGUUACUUUGACUUUGUUGCCUAAUGGUUUGUUGCUAAAGGGUGGCUUGGGUAUGUGCACAAUUUAAUUAAUCAAUAAAUGGACAAGCUGAUCCAUUUUCAACUUUUCGAUUUGCCACUUCCAUGAGUUAGGAUAUAUAGAUGAUAAAUUAAAAGAUUGAUGUCUUUGACAAAAAUUUUGCUUGCUAGCCUACUUUGAACAUAGAUAUCGAAGAUGCCAUCAGACAUAAAUUAUAAAUAUGAACAGAAAGGGAUAAGACAUGUUAGAAGGCCAAGAGCAUGAGUAACGAAAAAAAUAAAAAAUAAAAAAAGUUCCUGCGUGUGGAUUUCGGCGAAGGAGAAA
Molecule: unclassified non-coding RNA, 1810 nt
Filed under: Hevea brasiliensis (rubber tree)
Lineage: Eukaryota; Viridiplantae; Streptophyta; Magnoliopsida; Malpighiales; Euphorbiaceae
Source: RNAcentral